GCGGCGGUUCGUUUGAGCUGCUUGCUUGCUUAAAGUGAUAUGAGUUUUCGAGUGGAGAACUUCGGUUCGUGUUUGCAGGAACGGCAGCAACAACAACACUUUAUUUCGGAUCGACAUAUCCCUGACGAUGCCACACCGAUCCGGCCCAACCGACCACCCAGCAGCGAUGCGUAGCCAUGGCUGCCAGUUCGGCACGGCACAUUUCCGCCCCUGCCUAGGAGAGACACGGAUGGAAAGCGCUCGCCUUUGUUGCAA
This is a non-coding RNA of Dermacentor albipictus, 255 nucleotides long. NCBI's taxonomy places the organism in Eukaryota, Metazoa, Arthropoda, Arachnida, Ixodida, Ixodidae. The record is from RefSeq and is a predicted model, not a curated record.